GGAACGACUUCCAUUUGUAAUGCAGGUGGAAGUUGGUUCCCUGUCCUAUCUGAGGAGAUCCAAUGCAUGAAUGAUCCUUACGACAUAGGAGAUACAACGCAUAGGGUCCAUUUAAUGUAGAUAACGAGAACAGCGUUGCCUAGCGAGAAUAGGAAUGGCCGAAUCAAAUGAUUUAUCAGCUAUCAAAAUUUUGCCUUACUGAUUCUUUACCUCAGCUGAGAAUCGAACCUGAAAAGCUGUCAAAUUCCUUAAGAAAAAGGAUCAUCAAGCUCCAAAGUCCAAGUUCAUCAAGUAUUUGGAGAAAAAUAAUUCCAUCUAGUAUCCUCAACUUGACCAACGGGCGUUUACAUCCACACGUCCACGACUCCAUCUGGCAUAUCCUCCACAAGAUUGAUUUAAAACACAUUUACGAUGGUCGUUUUCAUAUAACAAACCACACUUUAAACAAAAGAAUUGUAUUUUUCUUUACAGAACGCAACACUGACACUGCCAUUUGAACACCCUUCAGCAUCAGCAAUAAAACCUAACGCAAAAUCCUCGGUCCCGGAGCUCCGAGCGAAACAAAAAAAAAAAAACACAUCCCCGAAUGGUUUCAGCAUUCUUGUCAACUCUCCAGCUCCUGCACAUCCAAUUCCAGCUGCAUGCGUGCCGAUAUUACUUUAAAACCCAGAAGUAAGAUAAUAACCCCCAUUGAACCAAUCCUCCUACGAUCAGCGCAUUUCGCCACAGAAAUCAACCACAAACCGACGCUUUGAAGGGUGAAAAACCUCGUCACAACGCAACCGAAAGCCUUCCGGGGUGAGUUGCCUUGUGGAAAAAAGAAACGUCCUCAACCUUGAGGACGAGCGUACGAGCGUAACGAACGGCGACAACACCGCCGACACACGCACGCACGUCGCCCAAGAAGCCCGAUCGCCGGUUUGUCAUAAUUUUUGAGCCUAAUAUCAUUUUCCGUUGCCGUGUGCUCAAUUUAAAAGGCCUCGGCUGCAUGGCGUACCAGACGUGCCGGGAAAGGGGAUGAACUGUCAAAGGACUGUUCUGCGGGCGAAUCCCGAAUCCCUGUAACGAGGGUUGAUUUAAGACUCAAAAUCCCAACCGAAACGCACGGCGAAAAUGUGACACACACACAGCAGAGGCACCGUGUCCUCGCUUGCCUCAAGGACUGGAAGGGAUUCGUACUCCGUCCCAAAAGUAAGACGAAAGCAGGCGAUUGUACUUUCACCACCGAAACAAGUGGAACUACCAUUUUCGCGAAAAUCUGCUCACAUUUUCUUCGGCCUUUCCUGCAGGCGUUUGUUUUGCGGUGGUUUCCGAAAUGUUCGACACAUUUUAACGAAACACCACACUUCCAAAGUGUUGUAGUAGUAGUAGUUUGGUGGCUUGUUUGGCUGCGGUUUUCCCAUUUUGCCAGGUGGUAACAGCUGGCUGUAAGUGAGUUUUGAAACCGCGUCUGACGCGCAAAAGAUUGAGUAUGGGCGUACACAUCGGGUGGGGGGGAGGGGGAUUGGAUUGAUUGGGCUGAAACUUUGAACGGGGAGGAAAAAUGUGUUGCACUCCGUGUCUAAUGCCGGUGGUUGCCGCAGAAAGUGGGAAUGUUUUGGUUAAAUUGUAACACAAAUUGUUACGUUACAGCUUCGCACGAGUUGGGAAAGUGAGCCAAGGUCAAACAAACAUUAGCAUUCUAAUGCAGGUAUUGAGAGGAGAUGAUAUUUCGCAGAUGGUAAACUAGAGCUCAAGAGUCAAGUGUUUGUAAAAUAAUUCCUGACGCCCAGCCGAAAAGUCUUGUAGAAGUAUUUCCAGGAAUAUGAUCUCUUGCCAGUCAUGAGUUUCAACAAUUUAGAUCCUCUAAGUUUUAACAGCUACUUCAGGCCUUUUUAAUUUUGCUUCAUUCACACUCGUUGUCUAACACAGGAGUUUAACAGCUGGCUGAUGGAAUAUUAAACGUUCUUUGUCUAGGGCUCCAACAUCUCCUAGUUCUUCAUUCCAGCUAGUAGAUGAUAGUAUGAACAAUCCUUCGAGUGUGAUUCAUUGUCUUUUCUCGGAUAUUUCACUCUAAAUAAAUUUCUAUUGAUGUAAAAUUUCCUUUAAUCACAGAAGAAGGACAGCUUGGUACCUUGAAAGACUGCCCCAGAACAAUAUCAAUGUAUCCACCAAGAACGAAGAUAUGAACCGGGAUGUUCAGACCAUCUCAGACCAGACUCAGACCUUCUGAACGCCAGUUAAAGGAGGAUGUAGGAAAUAGAUCCUUGGAAUUUCUCUUUGAGCCUUGAGUAGUCUAGGCCUGCCACCUUCUGGCUUCCUGAAGUAGAUAACCUCCAUAGCAGGAGAGUCAAUCUUACGUCUUUGAACCCAGUUCUUAAAAUAUUUUAGCAAAAGGUACU
Anopheles stephensi (Asian malaria mosquito) is the source of this 2381-nucleotide long non-coding RNA. RefSeq lists it as uncharacterized. Lineage: Eukaryota; Metazoa; Arthropoda; Insecta; Diptera; Culicidae. The record is from RefSeq and is a predicted model, not a curated record. The transcript is spliced from 3 exons.